RNAcentral lists this ribosomal RNA (494 nucleotides) under uncultured bacterium. Its description in RNAcentral is "partial 16S ribosomal RNA". It matches the Rfam family "Bacterial small subunit ribosomal RNA", at positions 28 to 507 of the family's 1533-position model. The record is from RNAcentral.
GACGAACGCUGGCGGCGUGCUUAACACAUGCAAGUCGAACGGUGAAGCGCCUUCCUUUUUGGUGGGUGUGGAUGAGUGGCGAACGGGUGAGUAACACGUGAGUAACCUGCCCCCUUCUUCUGGAUAACCGCAUGAAAGUGUGGCUAAUACGGGAUAUCCUGGGUCUGUCGCAUGAUGGGUCUGGGAAAGAUAUUGUUUCGGUGGGGGAUGGGCUCGCGGCCUAUCAGCUUGUUGGUGGGGUGAUGGCCUACCAAGGCGGUGACGGGUAGCCGGCCUGAGAGGGUGGACGGUCACACUGGGACUGAGACACGGCCCAGACUCCUACGGGAGGCAGCAGUGGGGAAUAUUGCACAAUGGGCGCAAGCCUGAUGCAGCGACGCCGCGUGAGGGAUGGAGGCCUUCGGGUUGUGAACCUCUUUCGCCAGUGAAGCAGGCCUGCCUCGUUUGUGGGUGGGUUGACAGUAGCUGGAUAAGAAGCGCCGGCUAACUACGUG